GCGUUCUUGUCGGGGUGCCUUGCGUUGAGGCUGAGAUCGGAUAAUUCCGGAUCCCGUUGAACCUGAUCAGGUUAGCGCCUGCGUAGGGAACAAGAUUGCUCGUCUC
Non-coding RNA from Pseudomonas putida, 106 nucleotides. Lineage: Bacteria; Pseudomonadati; Pseudomonadota; Gammaproteobacteria; Pseudomonadales; Pseudomonadaceae. The record is from Rfam.